This 8316-nucleotide long non-coding RNA is filed under the name Zea mays. RNAcentral's name for it is "long non-coding RNA (ZMAY_LNC003074)". The record is from RNAcentral. Lineage: Eukaryota; Viridiplantae; Streptophyta; Magnoliopsida; Poales; Poaceae.
GACUGGUAAAAAUUUCAUGAAUUGUGGUGCAUGUAUGAUUAAGUUAGUAAUUUAACUUGUUUAAUGCACCUUAAAUAGUUUUAAAUGAUUUAAAAAUAAUGUAUAGAUGCAAAAAUGUAAAAUGGUGUUCCACUGUCCUUGCAUGACAUUAUAGUAGGCUAAGAAAACUUAAUAUGGUCAUGCAUCCACAGAAAAUAAUUAAUUUUAGAAUUAACUUGCUCUCACAAGCUUUAUUGCAUUAACAAAUUGUUAUUUUUGUAUUAAAUAAAAUAUAAAACCUGGGCAUGUGAAAUUUAUACAUUGGUCAUGAUUUGUUAUUACCUAUGCCUCAUAAAAAUUCCAGCCCCAAAUUAGAUAGUUUUAUAUGGUACUAAAAUGACACACAUUUUAUAAGUAUAAGAACAAUUAGUGAAAAAUUAGAAGUAAACAAGGGCAUGCAUGUUUCUUGAAAUACUUAAGUGCCUUGAUAUAAAUUGAAACUUUACAACUAGGUCAUAAUGGUUUGAAUUUAAGAAAUCGGUGAUAGUAUCUCUAUGAGUUUGCUUGGUGAUUUAGUUAAGUGCUCUUGUGCUAGCAAACUGAAUUUUAUGGAUGUACAGUUUUGGUUGUGUGAGUAAUCUAGUAAAGUAAAAUGUGUUUUCUGUAGAUAUGUGCUAUAUAAAAGUUGUAGUUUACUUGUGUAUGUAGCUUGUCCUAAAAAUGCAUGAGCUAAGGAUUGAUUGUUUAGGAGCUAUACUUUUCACAAGUUCAGUAACUGAAUCUGUCCAAUUUUUUUAACAGAUUUCAGAGAUUGCAAUGGUUGCUUAAGUUAAUGUUGAAAUCAGUUAUUGGUGGUCACAAUAAAGUUGUAGAUAACAUUAUUAUCUUACUUAUGUUAAAAUUUGACAGUCAUACGUCUGAUUGUUUAGAAGUUGUGCUUUUCACAAAUUCAGUAACUGAAUCUGUGCAAAUUCUAUACAGAUUUCAGAAACUACAUUGUUUGCCUAAUUUAAUGUUACAAUCUGUUCAUGGUCGUUAUAAGAAAGUUGUAGAUUCUUUUCUUAUCUUGUUUGUGUUAAAAUUUCAUAACCAGAGGCCUGAUAGAUUAAGAGUUAUGAAUUUUAUAAAAUGGUUGCUCUGUUCUGUCCACUGACAGAACAGAUUUCGAAAACUAUAUUGUUUGAUUUAGUUAAAUAUGGAAUCACUUCUUGGUGAUUAUAAAAGUUAUGUAGUACUUUUUUAGGCUUUCCAAAAAGUCUGGGAUCACUCUUUUUGGUGAUCUGAAGAUUUAGUUAGGGAUGUUUGAAGUGUGAAGUCUAAAUCUGUCCAAAUCUGGACAGCAAAGCCUUCUAGUGUCUUUUACUCUUGAUACACUUUAAAUCAACCUGAGAUGUUUAUAAAUAAUUUGUAGAACGUUUAAUUAGCUUUCUAAAAAGUCUAGGAUCAAUUGAUUUGAAUGUCUGAGUCUCUAGUUACGAAUUUUUGAAGGCAUAAGUCUAAAUCUGCCCAAAUUUGAAUAAAGCUGUCGUUUAUCACUAUUUAACCUUAUUAAGUGUCUAAUCACCUUGAGAUGAUAAUAUCAAAGUUGUAGAACACUUUUUAAACUUUCCAGAAAAUCCUAGUUUGAUAAUUUUGAACUAAUAUUUGAAGAGUUAUGAUUAAAACAAAAACUAUUGUGUUGCUGUCCUAAAUGUGUUAGAAGUGAUUGAUUGCUCUACUCUAUUGUGUUUGACUUGAGUGAUUGCUUGCUUGUUUUGGUUUUAAGUGAACAUGAGUAAUAAUAAUAAGUGACUAGUAUAAUUGGGGUUAUAUAUAAGUAAGUAGUACACAUCUCACUAAGUUAGUGAACUAAAUUGGUUAAGGUCUAAUAAGUAGCUUAGCUUAAUCAACAGUUAGCAAGUGCAGUUAUAUAUUAGGGAAACAAAAUGAAUAAUGUCAUGUCCUUGGCUUUCUGCUAAUACUACUAAGUAACCAACGUCAUUAAAGUAGUAUAACAUGUAAUAACGAUUAAACUAUCUCCUCAUGUGUGUUCUCUUUGGUGUGUGCUUGCAUGAGAAUAUUGUGAAUGAUUGUAAAAUCUCGAUUAAAUGAAUAUCCCUUUCUAUCUAAGUCUGUCUAAAUAUAUGAGUCAUAGAAAACUUAUGUGUACUUAACUAGUUUAAUAAUAAGUUGCCAAUGAACGAUUAAAGCGAACAUGUUAAAUUCUUGUACUCGUGAUGUCAUGUUUGUGUUGGCUAAAUAUAGGAAAUGUUCAUCGUCUUUCCAGUAAUGUUGACUUGAUGCGCCCAAUGACGUAUAGAUAGCUAGCGUUAACGUAUGGAUGUUUAUGUGUCUUACUAAUUAAUGUUAGUUCGUUGUCAUGUACUUGGAGUAUCUUGUGCUAUUUCAUCAUGUUCAUACAUAUGCAUCCCGCAUCUCAUUUAGGACCGAGAGAUGACGAUCGUGUAAGUGGUGUGGUGCAAACAACAAGAUGCAGUUGGUGGACGACCCAAAGAAGGAUGGACUUAACCAGUGGAUGCUCGCCAAGCGAGUAGCCCCCAGCAAACACUAUCUAAGUGUUAAAUUAAAGGCAAGCCCCGGUUUUAUGCAUAACCGUUUAUGUAUGCUAUUUUACUACACUUAAUGUUUGUAGGCUUGUACCGUGCACUUAAGUGUAGGAGUUGCCUGAAACCCUAGUUGCAUGAACUCAGGAUUCCUUUUGAGAUGGAUACUAGUAUGCUAGGUCGAGUAGCUGCUAUGCUAAAUCAGGAUCUCGGUAGAAGUCGAGUGAUUUUUCUAGCACUCGCGCGAGGUCAGGAAUUGGUUGUAUCCAUUUUUGAUAACAGAAUGAUGAUGGUCUAUGGACACGGAUCCAUGGGGAUGUGUUGUCUAUGAGACAAAAUUGGAAUAAGGAUUAACGUGCGGAUACCUGUGUCAAGCGUUUGAACGUACUAAACACAUGUCGGGAAAAAUGGUAACCGGUAAACCUAGUACCUGAGUGAAGCCGGGCGCGGACUUUAUCCCUCAUGCGACCUGAGACUGGGUCUCCCAUUCUAGAUAUAGUGGGUACAACUGCGGCCACUGCACGACGGCAGUCGGGGUUAGUGGAGCAGUGUAUGCCAAGGCGGUGAGGCCUGGACGCGAACGGGGAAUCGAUGGGGACGGUUGACAUGUGUGGGGACGGAGUGCCCUGACAUGUCGUGUGUUUAGGUUUACCUUGCAAGGUUAAAACUCGAUUCGAAUCGUCUGCUUCUCGCAGCUAAUGAGACUGCUUGAUCCAUUGUAUUGCAUUGAGUAAUAAGUGGAAAUGAGAUACUGGCAAAAAAUGUUGAUUGAUAUAAUGUUUGAUACCAUGUAUGAAUAGCUAGGUACUCAUCUAGUUAAAAAGGAUCAUACUAAAACUUGAAAAGCUAAAACUUGAUUUUAAACUCAGCUAGUGCUUUUGGCAAACCAAACCCCUCAGCCAAACAGCUGCAUGUCUAGAGGUAGAGGAGUAGACUCCUCACACCGGGUAAGUCUAGCUGAGUAUUAGUAUACUCAGCCUUGCUUGUGGCAUAAUUUUUGCAGGUACUCCUUAGGAUGAUUUGUUGAUGGUGUGACUUGGCCUUCAUCCCUGCCACCGGGAUAGACGGUCAGGUGGGUUAUUGCUUCCGCAGGAGAGGACCAGGAGGAGUAGCGUGGCCAGGCUUCGCCAUGUUACUCGGUUUUCUCCGUUAGUUAUUUCCGCUGCAUUAAAAUUUAUGAUUAUUAUUUCUGAAACUCCAAUAAUGUAAUCACUAAUGAUACUUAUUAAAUUUGUGGUGUUAUGUUUUAUUGUAUUUCUCUGUGCCUCACCUUCGUGUGAGCUAGUGGUAUUCGAUCCUGGAUAAGUGGCUUUAUCGGACUCGAUCCGAGGGACUGACGGGUUAUUCCUGUUUAAGUGUGUUGCUGCCCUUAAGGGUGCGACUUGGGCACUUAAGCUGGAAUAAUCCGGGUGGUUCCGCCACAGCUGGCAUCGGAGCGAAUACCAGUACAGAGAAGUCAAUAAGUCAUGAUUACCAACCUUUUCUAAAGUAAAACUUGCUUAGAAACCAAAGUUGGAUAGAUAUCAGGACGAUAAGGAUAGACCUAGGACGUGAAGCCUUAGGAAAUAGGUGGGUAGCUAGGUGGCUAUUUAUAUAGGCCAUAAAGGCUACUAAUACUAUUAAUAGGGAUGCUGUAGAAGCACCCAAAAAAUUAGUUAGGUCUGAGAAGACGACUAGAAUGAGCAUGCAUCAUGAUUGUCGCAUUAUCAUUGUCUCUUGUGCACCAACAUGCUUCUCUCACCUUUAUUCCAAUAAUAAGAAAUUGUGAAUAAUGUGCUGUAUUGCUAUGAACUGCAAAAAAAAAUGUUUUAUCCUGUGUGUCAUGAUAGUCUUAACUAGGUUGUGUUAUGUGUUUCUCUUGUCUUGCUAUCUAGGUGGUAUUGUAAUUGUUCAACCCUUUUUGCUAAUAAAAAUUGUUGCCUGUUUUGCCAAAAAAAGGACCCCCUCCAAACAACCUCAAGUUUAGCAAGUAAAAUCUUCAAAAAAUUUAUCACAUGCUUGUGUUAGUGUUUUUCAAACCCUUGCGUGUUUUACGCUUGAAGUUACACCUACACAGCUUGUAGAUCUCUUUAGCUUGACCACUAGAUCGACUAAAGCCUCCUUGUGCACUUGUUUCUGUCAAAAAAAACUUUUAGUUGGUGAAUAAUUGCGCAAAACAAUAUCCAACCCCAAAUUCUUCUUGGAAAACCUUGUCCCAAAAUCCUCAUUAAAUUCUCUUCUGCUCAACCUAGAAGCCAUCUGGGUUGAUGACCUCUCCUUUCACCUGGAUCGAGUAAACCUUUACCUUUGUGAAUCAUGUUGGCUUUAUCAUCCAAAUCUCCAGAUCCCUUAAUGAUUCUGCCCUGUUAUCUGGUUAUCUGCUAUAACCUAUUCUCAAGUAUCAGAUGUUGAUCUACCUAAAUCUCUUAUUUCUGGUCAUUCUCAUACCCCCUUCUUCCGAGGACCAUGACACUUGUUUUAUCAAUUGUAUCUCUAAACAGUGUAUCCAUUCGGUUCAAUGGAUUAUGUUGUUGACAUUAGUUCUCUCAUGUCUCAGCAAGUUGCCAAUCUUGAUCUCAUGGUUGGUUCCCCUCAUAUCCACUCUCGUAUAAAUCUCUGACCUGAUAAUCUCCGUGUUAAUCAUAAGAUAAUUCUCCGAGUUGAAGAAAAUUCUCAUGUGAUGCCCUUUUGCCAACAAUCUCUGCUUCAACUCCGAUCACAUUCUUAUUUUCUGAGCCAUACUCUCAUGGGCUCCAUCUAUUUAUGUCAUGUGGAUUUAUCGUUGGUUGCGUUUGAUAAUGGUAUUAUGACUAACAACUGAUGGUGCCGCGACGAAACCGAGAGCCUACUAUGGUGCACACAUGGUUGAGCUGCUCGGCACGCGCAGGUAUCGCGGUUAAUAGUCGUGAUCCAUUAUGGAACUACACCGAUGUGCUGUGUUUUGUGAACAUUCUCUCAGAGUGGUCGUGGCAUUUUGUCUCAAUAUGUCACGGUAUUCGGUCCAAAUCUAUCUUCAGUAUCUUGUCAGAUGACAUCUCAUGAAUUUCAUUCUAUCUUCAGCUUGGAAGUUACAUGCUUCUCCACCCUUAAAGAUCCUCAUUCGAAUCUCGGGACGAGAUUCUUUUAAGGGGGGAAGGCUGUGACACCCCAGGUGUCAGUUUCGUGUUAUGUCGGGAGAUUUAUCCUAAGCUUGGAUGCUCAGUGAAAAUUUCUAUCUCCUUAUCACAUUUAUCUCCAUUUAUCAAGUUACUUGUGAAGGUUUCACCGAUUUGUGAAUUUAUUCGAUCUCAAGAACAGCCCAAUUUGGAGCCUGUUAAAACUUUUAUUUCUCGAAGCAAACGCAAAUUCGAAAGUCAAUCUCGUCUCGCAACUCCCGUCCAGACUCAUUUAUCCAAACUCUCGACAAUUGUGAUGUUACCUAAUCUAUGUCCGAAUCCGCUCUCUCGAUAGCCAGUCUAUGUCCAAAUAUUUAAUCUGAAUCCGCAUUCUCCAUCGGAAUCUCUAUAGUAUCAACCUCUAAUUAUUUCUUAUGCAAUUCAGCUUGUUAUAUUUAUGUCAUCAUCUAUCUCUAUCUAUCAAGCGUAUUCUAAAGAUUUCUUAAAGUUUGAACCAAAUAUUCGUGUGAAAUUAUAAAUCCUACGCUUACCUGAGACUGCUCGAUUAAGUAAAAGCAAAUUUACAAAUUCAAACAAGUUAUUCCAACCUUCCCAAAACACUCUAUAUCAACUCUACAACAAAAGUUAUUGAGGGUUCAUGUAGAGAAAAUGCCAAGGAAAUGUCGAGAAAAUACCCCGAUUGCCUUAAAAAUAUAAUUUGAAGCUUUAUAAUGAUGCUACCUUGACUAAAGUAAAACUUUAAUUUAUAUUCAAGAUAUGAGGAUUGACCUUCAAUACAAAUUGUAGAACCUGUGUUAUACAACAAAUUUUAUAUUUAAACCAAGCCUUGAUUCAAUUUCUAAGUAUCUCAAACAGUGCCAUCAAGACAGAAUAAAAAUCUGAUUUCUGAAUUCGAAUUCUUCUAAGUCUGAAAUCAGCAUCGUUCGGGUCGACGUCUCGCGUUCCCAAAUUUUUGUUGAACAACUCAAGUUUCCCCAAAUACAAAAGUUGUUAAUAACUAAUAGGGGCACAACAUAUUAAAAGAUGGCAUUCAUCUGAUUCCGUUUGACAUGCUUUGACAUUCAGUUUUCACGAGUUUCCACUGAUUUCUAACCCACUGACAAACCAGUUUUCGUGGUUCUAUAACUUUCUAACCAGUGCCCGAAUCACCUCAAUCUCUAUACACGAUUUGUAAAUUAUACAUCAAGGAAGAUAUUUUGUGCAGCAACCGAGAUCCGAAUCCAUGCAGAAGAUGCCAAAAACGGGCAGCCAAAGUCGCUCUGCCACCUGCUGCAGCUGACUGACGCGACUAGAGCUCUGCAGCUGCCGCCCAGUGUCUGCCAAUGGCUGAAGCCGCCCCGCCUCUAUUUAUACCGCGCUGAGAGCUCACCAGCACGCCUUCCUCUUCUCCAUGGCGCGCCCUGCUUCGCCCAUCGUUCGGCUUCCUCAUAGCAUGGCGCUCAGGGCCCGCUCGGCCCUCUCGUUCGCGCGCAGGGUGCUCCUGCUUCCCCAUGCCCGAGCUCGACGGACAGCAGAGCCAGGGCGCCAUCUCCAAGCUCCAGCCCCUCCUCCCUGGCGCGCCUCGACAGCAGCAGGGAGCAGCCGCUCUCCUCUCCCUGCCCCACCUCGCCGGUUUCUUCUCGCCUGUGCGCUCGGCUCCAGGAGCAGGCGCCCCUACAUCUCCCUGCGUACGUGCUCAAACAGAGGUAGAAGAAGCCACUUUGUGCCUAUGACAGGUGGGUCCAGGUUCAAGUUCAUUUGUGUUCCAAAUUCCAGAUUUCGUAAUAUAUUCUAAAAUUCAUAUCUUGAGUUUGGUAGCUCCAAAAAUCACGAAAUUUGUUUUGUUGGCUUCCUUAUGAAAUGCUCUAACUAUUAGAUCUAUAGGUUGGCAUGUUUUAGUGGAAAAGUUUUUCUGUAGAAAUUCGUAUUUAAAAACUGGUUUAGAAAACAAAUGAACUUGCACCUCUCCAUAGUUUUAAUUACAAAAAUCCAAAAAUGAUGAAACUUGUUUUGUUAGUUAGAUGUUGUCAUACCCCAUCAAGGAAAAAUAUAAAACUUAUAUGUUGUUCACUGUUUUCUUGGUGUGCUAAUUAAAUCAUGUUAAAUAGGAAAAAGAAGAUUUAUUUGCUUGUUAUUUUUGGAUCUGUAGCUCUAGUGCUCUAAGUGGGUUGAAAUUUUUACAGUAGACUCUUGGUGUGAUGCUUGGUGACUGGUAAAAAUUUCAUGAAUUGUGGUGCAUGUAUGAUUAAGUUAGUAAUUUAACUUGUUUAAUGCACCUUAAAUAGUUUUAAAUGAUUUAAAAAUAAUGUAUAGAUGCAAAAAUGUAAAAUGGUGUUCCACUGUCCUUGCAUGACAUUAUAGUAGGCUAAGAAAACUUAAUAUGGUCAUGCAUCCACAGAAAAUAAUUAAUUUUAGAAUUAACUUGCUCUCACAAGCUUUAUUGCAUUAACAAAUUGUUAUUUUUGUAUUAAAUAAAAUAUAAAACCUGGGCAUGUGAAAUUUAUACAUUGGUCAUGAUUUGUUAUUACCUAUGCCUCAUAAAAAUUCCAGCCCCAAAUUAGAUAGUUUUAUAUGGUACUAAAAUGACACACAUUUUAUAAUUAUAAGAACAAUUAGUGAAAAAUUAGAAGUAAACAAGGGCAUGCAUGUUUCUUGAAAUACUUAAGUGCCUUGAUAUAAAUUGAAACUUUACAACUAGGUCAUAAUGGUUUGAAUUUAAG